This 76-nucleotide transfer RNA is filed under the name Dehalococcoidia bacterium. RNAcentral's name for it is "tRNA-Val". It matches the Rfam family "tRNA". Rfam says of the family: Transfer RNA (tRNA) molecules are approximately 80 nucleotides in length. Their secondary structure includes four short double-helical elements and three loops (D, anti-codon, and T loops). Further hydrogen bonds mediate the characteristic L-shaped molecular structure. tRNAs have two regions of fundamental functional importance: the anti-codon, which is responsible for specific mRNA codon recognition, and the 3' end, to which the tRNAs corresponding amino acid is attached (by aminoacyl-tRNA synthetases). tRNAs cope with the degeneracy of the genetic code in two manners: having more than one tRNA (with a specific anti-codon) for a particular amino acid; and 'wobble' base-pairing, i.e. permitting non-standard base-pairing at the 3rd anti-codon position. Lineage: Bacteria; Bacillati; Chloroflexota; Dehalococcoidia. The record is from RNAcentral.
GGGCGGAUAGCUCAGCGGUGAGAGCGCCUGUCUUACACACAGGAGGCCGCAGGUUCGAUCCCUGCUCCGCCCACCA